This is a non-coding RNA of Heterocephalus glaber (naked mole-rat), 886 nucleotides long. The record is from RefSeq and is a predicted model, not a curated record. NCBI's taxonomy places the organism in Eukaryota, Metazoa, Chordata, Mammalia, Rodentia, Bathyergidae.
GGAGAUGUUGAGCUGCACGGUCGUCCUCGUGGUCACACUGGCCGCGGGCAGAGUCACCUGACAGCUGAGGGCGGUGCCGUGGUCCUGGGGCCGCGGGGUGAGGACGAAUGACCCUUCGUCCUUCUUCUGGGCGUCUCUGAUGUCCAGGGAGCAGUUGUUGGCUCGCGGAUCCCCAGUGAGGUGGAAUCGGCCCUUGGUUUCCUUCUCCACCGGUUGACUUGGAUCAUUUGUGGCCACCACAACAGUCUGUCUUGUAAACCCAGCCUUUUCCCGGAACCAGUAGCCGUGAGCUGCGUCCAACUCAGUCUGGUCUUCAUAGGGGUGGGUGAACUCACAGGGCACAUGGACACACAGGCCCUCCUGCACCGUUACCGGGCUCUGCACCUUCAAGGAGUAAGCCUCUCCCCACACCCCCUCCUGCACCCAGAGCAGCAGCAGCACAGGCAGCAGCAGCAGCAGCAGCAUGUCGAUCUGGAGCUGCGGGUCCACCCAGGGGAGUCUGCUCCUCCUCCAGCCUCUACUCUGAGGAACCCAGAGCUGCAGGACCUGCAGGAGGCCCCACAGGAAGAAGGGUGUGAAAAUGGGUCGCCUCUGACCAGACCCCCAAGUCACCCCUGAGGCCAUCGACAUUUGCGGAGUCUGGGGUGGGACCCAGGGACAGGAUGGAUGGAGAGGCCCAGUCACGUGAGCCACAGUCUCCCCUCCCCUGCUCAGCAGCCACAGUGGACACACCCUCCUUGCACAGUGAGGUCAGCACAGCAGACCUGGACUCUGUCCCCAAGGGGCCACCACCCCAAGGGGAGACCAUGAAUCUCCCAGCAUCCAGAGCUCUCAGGAGCCUCAGUGUGGGGUGCACAGGUGGGGCAGAGGGUUGGUCUCACCCAGG